Long non-coding RNA from Eurytemora carolleeae, 304 nucleotides. RefSeq lists it as uncharacterized. The transcript is spliced from 2 exons. Lineage: Eukaryota; Metazoa; Arthropoda; Copepoda; Calanoida; Temoridae. The record is from RefSeq and is a predicted model, not a curated record.
AGAAGGGAGUCUUACGAUCCAAUCCUGAGAAAUACCACACGAAUACUAUCUUCUUCUGGGAUUGUUCGUCAGAAGAAGAUUAAACAUGACCUCUUCCUUAAUCCAUAAUACGCAUCCUUCAACAAAAUACGCAUCCUUCAACAAAAAUACGCAUCCUUCAAUACAAAAAUCCGCAACUUCAUCCGUCAUGUAAACUGCAUAAUAUGACAUUUAACCAUGAAUAUUGUUUUCAAUUAUAUUUUACAAAAGAUGUAAUAAGAUCGUAUUUAUUUGUACAUAAACUUAUUAAAGCUAAUUUAUUUUA